UAACUGUGAAGGAUCGAGGUCGAGGCU
Molecule: small RNA, 27 nt
Filed under: Arabidopsis thaliana (thale cress)
Lineage: Eukaryota; Viridiplantae; Streptophyta; Magnoliopsida; Brassicales; Brassicaceae
Description: ATSL057210
Source: RNAcentral